RNAcentral lists this ribosomal RNA (568 nucleotides) under uncultured Campylobacterota bacterium. Its description in RNAcentral is "bacterial SSU rRNA". It matches the Rfam family "Bacterial small subunit ribosomal RNA", at positions 63 to 651 of the family's 1533-position model. Lineage: Bacteria; Pseudomonadati; Campylobacterota. The record is from RNAcentral.
CGAACGAUGAAGCCUAGCUUGCUAGGUGGAUUAGUGGCGCACGGGUGAGUAAUAUAUAGAUAACGUGCCUCUUAGUCUGGGAUAGCCAUUGGAAACGAUGAUUAAUACUGGAUACUCCUUCUCUUUAUAAUUAGAGUUGGGAAAGUUUUUCGCUAAGAGAUCGGUCUAUAUCCCAUCAGUUAGUUGGUAAGGUAACGGCUUACCAAGGCAAUGACGGGUAKCGGGUUUGAGAGGAUGAUCCGCCACACUGGUACUGAGACACGGACCAGACUCCUACGGGAGGCAGCAGUGAGGAAUAUUGCACAAUGGAGGAAACUCUGAUGCAGCAACGCCGCGUGGAGGAUGACGCAUUUCGGUGUGUAAACUCCUUUUAUAUGUCAAGAAAAUGACGGUAGCAUAUGAAUAAGCACCGGCUAACUCCGUGCCAGCAGCCGCGGUAAUACGGAGGGUGCAAGCGUUAUUCGGAAUCACUGGGCGUAAAGGACGCGUAGGCGGGAAGCCAAGUCUGAUGUGAAAUCCUAUGGCUUAACCAUAGAACUGCAUUGGAAACUGGUUACCUAGAGUAUGG